AAUAGAUACCCCGGUAGUCCACGCCGUAAACGAUGGAUACUAGCUGUUCGUCCGCCUCGGCGGAUGAGUGGCUAAGCGAAAGUGAUAAGUAUCCCACCUGGGGAGUACGAACGCAAGUUUGAAACUCAAAGGAAUUGACGGGGGCCCGCACAAGCGGUGGAGCACGUGGUUUAAUUCGAUGAUACGCGAGGAACCUUACCAAGGCUUAAAUGUAGAUUGACAGGACUGGAAACAGUUUUUUCUUCGGACAAUUUACAAGGUGCUGCAUGGUUGUCGUCAGCUCGUGCCGUGAGGUGUCAGGUUAAGUCCUAUAACGAGCGCAACCCCUGUUGUUAGUUGCCAGCGAGUCAAGUCGGGAACUCUAACAAGACUGCCAGUGUAAACUGUGAGGAAGGUGGGGAUGACGUCAAAUCAUCACGGCCCUUACGCCUUGGGCUGCACACGUGCUACAAUGGCCGGUACAGAGAGCAGCCACUGCGCGAGCAGGAGCGAAUCUAUAAAAACCGGUCACAGUUCGGAUCGGAGUCUGCAACUCGA
This 537-nucleotide ribosomal RNA is filed under the name uncultured bacterium. RNAcentral describes it as "bacterial SSU rRNA". It matches the Rfam family "Bacterial small subunit ribosomal RNA", at positions 777 to 1315 of the family's 1533-position model. The record is from RNAcentral.